UACAGAGGUGGCGAGCGUUGUUCGGAUUUACUGGGCGUAAAGGGUGCGUAGGUGGUUCUGCGUGUCAGGUGUGAAAUCCCACGGCUCAACCGUGGAACUGCAUCUGAAACUGCAGGGCUAGAGUGCAGGAUGGGAGAGCGGAAUUCUUGGUGUAGCGGUGAAAUGCGUUGAGAUCAAGAAGAACACCGGUGGCGAAGGCGGCUCUCUGGAAUGCAACUGACACUGAGGCACGAAAGCUGGGGGAGCAAACAGG
Molecule: ribosomal RNA, 253 nt
Filed under: uncultured bacterium
Lineage: Bacteria
Description: partial 16S ribosomal RNA
Rfam family: Bacterial small subunit ribosomal RNA
Source: RNAcentral